GAUUCAUAAAGAAAUUACUUCUGUUCUGAAGGUCUGUACAGUUUUAGUUUAACAUUACGAUAAUAGUGUUUUUUACAUGCCAAUUAGCGUUCAAACAGAGUGAUAAUUCAGUUGAACUGGUAACAAAUAACCAUUGACAAGCUUAGUCCAUUAACUGUCAAAGUCAUAUCAAUACCAGGUAAUUCCUCAUCUCAGUAUUCUCUCAAUAAUGGCAAUGUACCUCAAGAUAUCAGUAGUCCACAACAAUAGCCAUUUAAUAGUACACGGUGCAGGGAUUAAUAUGCGGCAUAUUAUACACGGUAGCUGCUUAUAAUCUAUAAUAUGUAUUGGUGUAUCAUAGCCCAUGGCACAGACUUCAAACAUCGCUCAGCAACUCCUGUGUUCUGUGAAAUUUGACCUUAGCUGGACUUGCUCAAGCAAAUACACGGUACCACCUAAUUGCCAACCUAUAGCAGUCUCAUCUUGAUCUUCCAUAGGGUAGCGGUGCAGCGCCAAGCAUGAAGCCUUCAUGCAUAUUCCAGUUCGUAUCUAUUCAAGAAUUAAAAAAUAGGAUAUUUUGAAGGUAAAAGCGAGACAAACAAAUAAAAAGAGAAUUCUAUGUGGCUUUAUAAGACAAAAUUUCCAUCCACCCCAUCCUUAAACUUUCAAACUAUUUGUUAGACCAAAACAUAUUUUAGGAGUUGGAAGUUGGAAUACACAGAUGGUAGCUUUGGUGUAAUAGUAAAGUUAUUCCAUUUAUGACUUGAAUGUCAUAGGGUACAAGCCACGGAAACAAUCUCUCUAGUCUCUAUAAAGUAGGGUAAGACUGUGCACAUCAACCUUCUCAGAGCACUUUUAAGUUGGAAUACACAUGCAUACACCUCUGUAAAGUGAACAAAGAAAAUGCCUUCUCCCUAGGUAGGAUCACUAAAAAAAUGUUGGCAGUGGCAGCAGAAAGAAAAUCAGGUUGAAGGAAAACAAUAAAAAAUAGAAGCAGCCAUUGAUAACAAAGAAGUUGAGCCAACCAACUAAAAAAGCACAACAAAAGAAAUGGGAAAAGAAAGGAAGGGAGAGAGAGAUGGAAAUAUAAAAAGGACACGACGCAUAACCAAAAAAAACAAAGCAAUAUUCAAAGCAAGCAAGAUGAGGAAAGACAUACUAUCCUUAAUAUUAUCAUGGCAAAACAUAUUUACAAGAUUAGCUAACAAGGAAAUACAAGUGUAAAUAAUUCAGCAGCAGUAAUGCAUAAUAACCAAGAUAACGUCUGCAAAAAUGAUUUCAAAUUCUACUUUCUUACAACAAAUUGCACUGCCCAUUACAGACAAGCUGAUUUUAUAUGGAAAAGCUGACCUCUUAACUUCGAUUACUUUUAUGCAUGAUGCAUCACACCCUAUUUGAUCUGAAGGACAGCUUUCUCAGCCUGUAGUUGUUCCACAACCCAACAGCUCCUCAGAGCUCUAAAAAUCAACGUCUCUUUGUAAGAGAAUUGUUAUGCAUCUCAAGCAACUUAUCAAGGUUUGUCAGGAACCAAUCUUCCUCUUUCUGGGCAUACAACCUUUGAUGCAGUGAGUCCACAUAUAUGCUUACGUUUCCAUAGCCAUAAAUCUGGUGACCAUUGUAUGUCCUGCCAGGUUUAGGCUUAAAUAGCAAGCCAUGAUGUUGUGCAUGUGCCUCAACAACUUCCUUCAAAGUCAUCUCAAGACCACCACCCACACCAUCUGCCGGGACUGUGCUUCCCACACCCAUUGCAGGUUGCUGUUGAGCAUGUGAUGCAAACUGCUUUGGUUCUUGUGCCCUAAGAUAACUCUCCCUCAAGCCAGGUUGGACCACUUCCAUACCUUCAAUAGCCCGAUCAAUCAUGUUGAGGCCAAGAGUAAAUUGAUAUCGAAUGUUUUCAUGGGCCUGAAGCUCCGGUGGGAGGAGUCCCUUCCAACCUGUAUACCAUCUAUGAACCUCCUGUAAGUUUGGAUUUGAACACAACCAAUGAUAUAGAAUCUGCAGCCACUUGACAAAGAAAAAUCUUUCCAUCAAAUCAACCAUGAGAUGAAUUGGAAUUGCAGAAGCCCAUGAUAUGACCCAAUAGAAUUGAUCAAGGUUUUGAGCAGUAGGAUUUAUUUGAAACUCUUGUAAUGCAACCUCCAACUUAGGAACUAUAAAUUUGCGCAUAAGAUUUUCCCAACUAGCUGAAUCAAACACAGUUUUCCAAGGGUACAAUAUAGCAUAAGCAGACGUAUCACUAGGGUGCCAAGCACCAAGAACCAUAGACAACUUCAUACGUAUCUUCUCGUAUAAAUACUCCAAUCUCUGUCCCAACUGCGGCAGCCAUGGAUGCACCCAAACAUGGAUUGGAACAGUUUCCCGACGAGGGUCCCACAAAUCCACAGCAGUAGACAAUUUUGGCAGGACUACAUUAUCUAAUAUGCUCUGGAUAACUGAUGCAGGCAACAACUUUUCCCAUGACUCCAAAAAUCUAAGCAUCGGUUCAGGGUCCCUAGGUUCCCAAGUAUUUAUACCAGCUAUUCUUACAGCAGGUAAAACUACUUCAGAUACUAAUUGUGUGAAUGGUGUGGCUACAUUCCAAAUAUCAUUACCUUCCUCACCUUGCAGCACAUUCUUCCACAAUUCCACAAGUUCCAAUCCAUGCAAUGGAUUUCUAAGAGGAUCCCAUCCCUGAAAUACUCUAAUGAACAAAGGCAAAGCAAAUGAACAAGCUAUGCUAGACAAGUUGCAAAGCUUGUAAUCAUCUGCAAAUUUCCUUCGUAGGCCAGCAAAACACUUUGCUAACAAAUCCAAGGUCAAGGUUCCAGAGGAAUUCUGUUCCUCAAUAUAGCUCAACAUGCUCAUGAUUUCCUCCAUGUUAUCCAAUUGUUUCUUCUGGCGUGAAGCCUCCAUUUCCAGCUUCUCUCUCUCUUUCUGCAAGCUAAUAGCUGUCUCCCUCUCGUUUCUCAAAUCUCUAUCAAUCUUCUGAAUGUCCAACUCUGCCAAGUCCACAAUUAGCCUCACAUUAUGCUGAAGUUCUGCCAUUGGAAUAUCAUUUUCCCUUGCCUUCUGCUCUGCAUUCAGAUUCUCCAAAUUUGUUAGCACUCUCACUUGAGGUCCCCGCAUGUCAAGCACCUUCUGUACAACCUCAAAACCUUGUUCUUCCUUCUUUGCCAACAACUCCUCUGCUGUUAUAUACUCCUCUUUCUUCUUCUUCCUCCCCUUCAUCCAGAGCCUCUCCUUUGCUCUCCCUACAGCGUGACUCUGGCUCUGGUUCUCAAUCGCACUAUUAAUCUCCUCCAGCUGAGGCAACUUAGAGGACGCUUCUUUAAAAUCAUUGAAACCCAUUCCCAUAUUUUUAGGCCUCAUCUUUGCUUCAAUUGGAGCCACAAUCCCUUGCUCGUUCUUCCCCAGUCCACCUCCCUUAUACCCCAUUUUCUCCAACAAUCUCAUCCCAAUUCCUUUUGUAUGCUUCUCAAACUCCCCAACAUCCCCAGUUCUCACUUCUCUCUUUUUCCCUCCUUCCUUUUCUUUCUUUUCCAAUCUCUUCCGCUCCCUCCUUUGUGCUCCCUCUUUUAUCCUCCUCCCAAACUCAGUAGGCAAAAAAUUAUCCUCAUCCUCACUACCAACCUCAUUCUCAAACCCCUCACUCUUUUCAACCCCAUUAUUACUACCAUUAAACCCUAAGCCGGAACUAAACCCCAGCCCCGACCCUGAACCUGACCCCAAACCUGGCCUGUCAUUAUCAUCGGCAAACAUAUCAUCAACAUUCUCUUCUUUGGCAUUCUUAUCAAUUUCUUGGUUAGGCAUCACGGUACCUGUAGAGACGAAAUUGACGGGCUUAGAAAGGUCAGGCUUCCGGCCAAAAUCACGGUCUUUUCUCCGUUUACGCGAGGAAGAUGAGCCGUAGCCAAAUUCGUCAUCUGAAUCGGAAUAGUCGGCGAAAACCCCAUAGAGAACAUCAUCCUUGGUUUGCUUGCGCUUCUCUUUGCGACUCCGAUAGAAGAACUCGCCGUUUAUCCAUUGGCCGUCCUCGAAGUCGUUCUCCGUGCCAAAUCUCUCCAUCUCCUGGUAAUCGUCCAUCUUGAAUUUAAUCUCUAGCUCCCUGUUGCCUACUCUUUACUCCUGCAAUCUGGAAAAUAAAAAAUGAAUAAACGAAACCAGUAAAACCCUAGAAUCUAGUGCGCAGUUGAUUUUUAGAUAUCAGGGAAAGCCAAGGAGUGCACGGGUGAUAGUUCUAACGGAAAAUUGCUUCGCUAAAUACAUAAUUGCAUCCUUAUAUAUAUGUCUUUUAAAUUUAACACAUUACACCCCCAAAUUUUUAUUAAAAGUUCAUUACCUUAAUUAUUAUUAUUAACAUUCGAAAUGUAAAUUAACUCUCCACGUGUCACUUCGAUAUUCGCACAUUCUCUAACCGCCCAAUCUACAGUCUACCCGCCAUUCGUCUUCCUCCUCCACCUGACUAGUAUUGCUACUGCCACUCUCGCUGGUCAAGCUCUCUCCUGUCUGCUCAAUCCCUUAGCCAGCUGCUCCUGCAAUGGCCAGGUCUCUGGUUGUCCCUCUAGCUAGUACAGCACCAUCAAAGCACUCUUCUUUGUUCCCAAAUUUCCCUUUCCAUUUCCAUUCUCAUUCCAUUCCCUCCAGAACCCUUUCUUUGGCUAUCCACAAGCCUUCUAAUUGUUAUACCCACUAUUCUCUAACUUCACUUCAUCGACGCCUCUCUCCGGUUCCUGCUCUAGAUUCCGACGUUCCUCACCCUCUUCAGGAGGGAUCAGCGAAUGUAAAGGGUAGUAAGAGCUUUGAACAAUGGGAUUCAUGGACGGCGAAAUUUUCCGGAGCCUCAAAUAUCCCAUUUCUGUUGCUUCAAAUGCCUCAGAUCAUCCUCAACGCGCAAAAUCUAAUGGCUGGCAAUAAAACUGCCCUUUUUGCUGUGCCAUGGCUGGGGAUGUUUACUGGGUUGCUCGGAAAUCUUUCUUUACUUUCUUACUUUGUGAAAAAGAAGGAAACAGAGGUAAUUGUGGUGCAAACGCUGGGAGUGGUUUCCAUUUAUUUAGUAAUUACUCAGCUUGCAAUGGCAGAAGCUAUGCCUCUGCCUCACUUUCUGGCCACUUCAGUAGUUGUGGCAACCGGUCUGGUGUUGAAUUUCUUCAAUUACCUUGGAAAGCUUAAUGCUGGAAUCUGGCGUGUUUGGGAAGAUUUUAUAACAGUGGCUGGACUCUCGGCUCUUCCCCAGGUGCUCUUUUUUCUUGCUUACUUUCACACCAUACAUGCGUGCACCAAUGUUGAUGCAUCUACGAGUGUAUUGAUCUUGGCAGUUUAGGGAAGUAAAAUAUUAAUUUAGUUUUCAGUAGUUAUGUUAACAAACGCUCACAUAUUUGUAAAUUGGAGCACAGGUCAUGUGGUCUACUUUUGUCCCAUAUAUACCAAGCACUAUCUUGCCUGGGGCAAUAGCAUUUGUCAUAGCUGUAACAGCUGUUAUAAUGGUAAGCUUUUGCGAUUUCCAUUUCCUGUUGGUGCAUUGCUCUAACCGGAUUAUCAGAGGCUAUUUCCAGGAUAAGAAACUGUGAGAAAAAUGUUAAUGAUCUUAUAACUCUCAGGAAUGAUGUACAGCAACUUCUUCAAACACUUUAAAAUUUUUUUGUUGGAACUUGGGUUUACAUUAGACGGCUUUACUCUAAAUGUAAUCCUACUCGAGGUUCUACCUGUAAAACUAGUUUGAGGUUUUUAUUUUUUGCUUCUUCCCUUUCUUUCCCAUUGUUUAUUGUUUUAUGCAAGAAAAUGAGCAUUUGGAUUCAGAAUUUUUUUGGACUUACAGCGGCUAAGAUUUGCAGGCACGAACAGGUAAGCUUUCAGAGAAAGGUGUUAAAUUUGUUGGAGGAAUAUCUGGAUGGACGGCAACUCUUCUUUUCAUGUGGAUGCCAGUUUCACAGAUGGUGAUCUUUGUUAUGCCCUUGUUUCAAUUUGGUGGCUUAUUGAUGUUUGUCUUACAUGCAUACCUGACCAAGAACAGCGAUUUCUAUUCAGUGGACAAAUUUCCUGAAUCCUGAGAACAUCAAAGGCUUAUCAGCCUUCUCAAUGCUGCUUGCUAUGAUUGGAAAUGGACUUAUGAUCCCACGUGCACUCUUAAUUCGCGAUUUUAUGUGGUUCACCGGGUCGACCUGGGCUGCACUCUUUUAUGGGUAUGGGAAUAUUUUAUGCAUGUACUGUUUCAACAGUAUCAGCAGAGAAUUCUUUCUUGCAGCCACUGCUGGUUUGGUUCUAUGGAUAGGAAUGGCUCUGUGGAGAGACACUGUAGUAUACGGAUACAACUCACCUCUGAAAUGCUUGAGAGAGUUGGCUUUUGGCUCAACUUGAAGUUCAAUGAGAUGGUGUCCCAAGAUCUUAUUUCUGAAGCAUGAAAUAUGAAAGUUCAUCUUGACUCCAAAGGUGCCAUUGCUUGAUCAGGAUUGCAGCCAAAGUUUUCCAACCAUGGAAGUUUUAAUUGGAGAGCAUGUUUGUAUGGAGAUCACUUGAUGAACUUCCACCGUACGUUGCUAGUCGUAAUUGAUAUUAUACUAGAAAUUUAGCAUAGGGAUGUCUAGUUAAUAUUUGUAAUAAUUGGUGAUGCAAUUGUUGCCCAAUAAUCAGAUUUUUGAUAGGCAGAUCGAAGUUACAGCAAAUAAUUCCUGUAUGAAAUGAAUAGUUUUUCUUUGUAAUAAAGGGUCUGAUUCGUUUCAAUGAAGGCUAGUUUUU
Molecule: unclassified non-coding RNA, 6690 nt
Filed under: Hevea brasiliensis (rubber tree)
Lineage: Eukaryota; Viridiplantae; Streptophyta; Magnoliopsida; Malpighiales; Euphorbiaceae
Source: RNAcentral